Molecule: unclassified non-coding RNA, 234 nt
Filed under: Glomeromycotina sp.
Lineage: Eukaryota; Fungi; Glomeromycota
Description: partial contains 5.8S ribosomal RNA and internal transcribed spacer 2
Rfam family: 5.8S ribosomal RNA (bases 1-71)
Source: RNAcentral
GUGAAUCAUCGAAUCUUUGAACGCAAAUUGCACUCUCUGGUAUUCCGGAGAGUAUGCCUGUUUGAGGGUCAGUUUAAAUAAAAUCGGUGUUGUUGCUGCCUUUCGGUGUGACGCACCGGGAGGGGGUCGUCUUGCCUUUGGGUAAGGGACCUAAAAUUUUGCAAGAUUUUUUUGAACGUAUUUUAAUUAUUUUACGUACGUUUGCGAUAUCCGAUACUAGGUGCGGGCAUCCUC